This 253-nucleotide ribosomal RNA is filed under the name uncultured Eubacteriales bacterium. RNAcentral describes it as "uncultured Clostridiales bacterium partial 16S ribosomal RNA". It matches the Rfam family "Bacterial small subunit ribosomal RNA", at positions 524 to 776 of the family's 1533-position model. Lineage: Bacteria; Bacillati; Bacillota; Clostridia; Eubacteriales. The record is from RNAcentral.
UACGUAGGGGGCAAGCGUUAUCCGGAUUUACUGGGUGUAAAGGGAGCGUAGACGGUGAUGCAAGUCAGAAGUGAAAGCCCGGGGCUCAACUCCGGGACUGCUUUUGAAACUGUGUGACUGGAGUACAGUAGAGGUAGGCGGAAUUCGUGGUGUAGCGGUGAAAUGCUUAGAUAUCACGAAGAACUCCGAUUGCGAAGGCAGCCUGCUGGACUGUAACUGACGCUGAUGCUCGAAAGUGUGGGUAUCAAACAGG